This 64-nucleotide small RNA is filed under the name Pedobacter alluvionis. Its description in RNAcentral is "Flavo-1 RNA". Lineage: Bacteria; Pseudomonadati; Bacteroidota; Sphingobacteriia; Sphingobacteriales; Sphingobacteriaceae. The record is from RNAcentral.
UCAUAAACCUUAUUGCAGUGGAAAGCCCACAGCGCUGGACUUGCAACGGAAAGAAGGGCUGAAA